Spinacia oleracea (spinach) is the source of this 224-nucleotide non-coding RNA. Lineage: Eukaryota; Viridiplantae; Streptophyta; Magnoliopsida; Caryophyllales; Amaranthaceae. The record is from Rfam.
ACGACCUUACUUGAACAGGAUCUGUUCUAUAGUAUUCGUACCUCUGUAUUCUUGAGUUCUAAGGAGACAGAAAACCAAGUCUGGUGGAUGAAUUAUGACCGUAUGUUCUGAGCGUGAUUAACGGCUACCAGCUGAUCUUCUGAUCUGUGUGUGUGCUGUAGAGGAUCCGUUCCCUUUCUUCCUAUGUGUGAGUUUGGGAUGUUCAUACGGUUGUCUGACAGACU